UGGGGAAUUUUGGACAAUGGGCGAAAGCCUGAUCCAGCAAUGCCGCGUGUGUGAAGAAGGCCUUCGGGUUGUAAAGCACUUUUGUCCGGAAAGAAAUCCUUGGCUCUAAUACAGUCGGGGGAUGACGGUACCGGAAGAAUAAGCACCGGCUAACUACGUGCCAGCAGCCGCGGUAAUACGUAGGGUGCAAGCGUUAAUCGGAAUUACUGGGCGUAAAGCGUGCGCAGGCGGUUUGCUAAGACCGAUGUGAAACCCCCGGGCUCAACCUGGGAACUGCAUUGGUGACUGGCAGGCUAGAGUAUGGCAGAGGGGGGUAGAAUUCCACGUGUAGCAGUGAAAUGCGUAGAGAUGUGGAGGAAUACCGAUGGCGAAGGCAGCCCCCCUGGGGCCAAAUACUGACGCUCAUGCACGAAAAGCGUGGGGAGCAAACAGGAUUAGAUACCCUGGUAGUCCACGCCCUAAACGAUGUCAACUAGUUGUUGGGGAUUCAUUUCCUUAGUAACGUAGCUAACGCGUGAAGUUGACCGCCUGGGGAGUACGGUCGCAAGAUUAAAACUCAAAUGAAUUGACGGGGUCAUAGCUGUUUCCU
RNAcentral lists this ribosomal RNA (589 nucleotides) under uncultured bacterium. RNAcentral's name for it is "partial 16S ribosomal RNA". It matches the Rfam family "Bacterial small subunit ribosomal RNA", at positions 355 to 1375 of the family's 1533-position model. The record is from RNAcentral.